GACGAACGCUGGCGGCGUGCUUAACACAUGCAAGUCGAACGGUGAAGCGCCUUCCUUUUUGGUGGGUGUGGAUGAGUGGCGAACGGGUGAGUAACACGUGAGUACCUGCCCCCUUCUUCUGGAUAACCGCAUGAAAGUGUGGCUAAUACGGGAUAUUCUGGGUCUGUCGCAUGAUGGGUCUGGGAAAGAUAUUGUUUCGGUGGGGGAUGGGCUCGCGGCCUAUCAGCUUGUUGGUGGGGUGAUGGCCUACCAAGGCGGUGACGGGUAGCCGGCCUGAGAGGGUGGACGGUCACACUGGGACUGAGACACGGCCCAGACUCCGACGGGAGGCAGCAGUGGGGAAUAUUGCACAAUGGGCGCAAGCCUGAUGCAGCGACGCCGCGUGAGGGAUGGAGGCCUUCGGGUUGUGAACCUCUUUCGCCAGUGAAGCAGGCCUGCCUCGUUUGUGGGUGGGUUGACGGUAGCUGGAUAAGAAGCGCCGGCUAACUACGUG
This 493-nucleotide ribosomal RNA is filed under the name uncultured bacterium. Its description in RNAcentral is "partial 16S ribosomal RNA". It matches the Rfam family "Bacterial small subunit ribosomal RNA", at positions 28 to 507 of the family's 1533-position model. The record is from RNAcentral.